RNAcentral lists this long non-coding RNA (794 nucleotides) under Androctonus crassicauda. The record is from RNAcentral. Lineage: Eukaryota; Metazoa; Arthropoda; Arachnida; Scorpiones; Buthidae.
UAUAAAGCAGAUACUUUGUUGUUUGUAACUUUGUAGAAGAAUUAAACUGCUUGUGAUUUUCUGGAACCUCUGUUUUAAAUGAAUUUAUCUGCUGCUGUGUACAGAACUGCUUGACACCCCAUGCCUCUUCUAUAGCGCCAAUAGAGAAGUAACUCAGAACCCAGACUAAGCACUCACAAUCCAGAGGUAGCCGUGGUCAUCACCGAUAGGCUGUGUCCUGCUGGUCUCCUAGUCAUAUGUCUAUGGGGGAGAGGUUGCACCCCUUUCUUCUGUAGAACGUCUCAGGAUGACGUGAUUCUGCUUAGUGGUGGGGGCUCCGUGAGCGCACAGCUGCUAACUAUGCAGCUUUCCUACCGGUGAUGAGAGGUGUCAGGAUUGACAGCAGCACCGUGAGAUCAUGUUCUCAGGCAGUCCCUUGUGCCCCAGCGUCUGAGUGGCUAGCGGCUGUGGGUCUGUUGCCUGUGUUCUGUUGCGAUGACAGGCAGGCCUGCGUACGUACGUGAAUGUGAGAGUCCAUGUUGGUUUGUCUUACGUCUUAGGCAAUCGCAUAUGGAACUGCACAUUUCUGCCAGUUCUUUCUUGGCUCUGUCACGUCCACAGUAGCCCAUGGAGACUACCUGGUAUGUUCGAUUCUUGGCAUCUGUGUGUAUAAAUUUGAUAACCAUGGCUUAAUUAGGAUAGAAACCCUAAGGUCUAAGGUACACAAGGAUGUGAUUUUGCAAAGGUAGAAAAGUUACUCUGUGCUGACUUAUCCUCUGCUUAUUGCAUGAGAGUAGCUCUUCCAAGGAGUCCAA